UUAAUCUUUAAUUUACGAAACCACCGGCCUUUAUAAAAUUUUAUUUUCCAAGGCACACAAUUAAAUUCCGCUAACUCUAACGUUUCAAAACCUUCCCCUUUAGUAUUUUGGUGUUCACUGUUACUUUUUUAGCAGACGAAAAGUGUGAGAAGAUGAGUUUGGAUUGUUUGGCGAUAUUAUGGGAUUAUUCAAAAUACGUUAGAUAACUUCGGUGAAAUGAUUUCGUGAAUUACUAAAAAAUGUUCCGAAGUCCAACAUUUGUUAAUUUCUUUUUUUUGAAAUUUUAUUAAAUCAAACUAAAAAAUGUUAAACGAUUGGUGGUGUAUUAUGUAGAAAAUAAAACAUUAUGAUAUACUUGGGCCCAACAGAUCCUCAGGUGUAACCUAAAUGGCAAGUUAAG
This is a long non-coding RNA of Ceratitis capitata (Mediterranean fruit fly), 400 nucleotides long. RefSeq lists it as uncharacterized. NCBI's taxonomy places the organism in Eukaryota, Metazoa, Arthropoda, Insecta, Diptera, Tephritidae. The record is from RefSeq and is a predicted model, not a curated record. The transcript is spliced from 2 exons.